This 253-nucleotide ribosomal RNA is filed under the name uncultured bacterium. RNAcentral's name for it is "partial 16S ribosomal RNA". It matches the Rfam family "Bacterial small subunit ribosomal RNA", at positions 524 to 776 of the family's 1533-position model. The record is from RNAcentral.
UACAGAGGGUGCGAGCGUUAAUCGGAAUUACUGGGCGUAAAGCGCACGUAGGCGGCUCUGCAAGUCGGUUGUGAAAUCCCCGGGCUCAACCUGGGAACUGCGACCGAGACUGCAUUGCUAGAGUAUGGGAGAGGAAAGUGGAAUGCUUGGUGUAGAGGUGAAAUUCGUAGAUAUCAAGCGGAACACCGGUGGCGAAGGCGGCCUUCUGGGCCGUCCCUGACGCUGAGGAGCGAAAGCGUGGGGAGCGAACAGG